AUUUAUAAUUGAAAUCUAGAAUGAAUGGUUUAAUGAAACAAAAUCUUUUUUAAUUUAAAUAAUUGAAUUUUUUUUUUUAGUUAAAAAACUAAAAUAUUUUUAUGGGACGAGAAGACCCUAUAGAAUUUUAUAUUUAUUAAAUUAAAUAAUAAUUUAUAAAUUAAUUAUAAUAUUUUACAAUAUUUUAUUGGGGCGAUAAAUAAAUUUAGUUAACUUUAAUUUUUUUAUCAAUAAUUUUUGUUAAAUUGAUCUUUUUUUAUUGAUUAAAAAUUUAAAUUACCUUAGGGAUAACAGCAUAAUUUUAUUAAGAAGUUCUUAUUUUUAAUAUUGUUUAU
Molecule: ribosomal RNA, 335 nt
Filed under: Ozirhincus longicollis
Lineage: Eukaryota; Metazoa; Arthropoda; Insecta; Diptera; Cecidomyiidae
Description: partial 16S ribosomal RNA
Source: RNAcentral